CGCUUCUUUUUCCACCGGAGCUUGCUCCCCGGAAAAAGAGGAGUGGCGAACGGGUGAGUAACACGUGGGUAACCUGCCCAUCAGAAGGGGAUAACACUUGGAAACAGGUGCUAAUACCGUAUAACAAUCAAAACCGCAUGGUUUUGAUUUGAAAGGCGCUUUCGGGUGUCGCUGAUGGAUGGACCCGCGGUGCAUUAGCUAGUUGGUGAGGUAACGGCUCACCAAGGCCACGAUGCAUAGCCGACCUGAGAGGGUGAUCGGCCACAUUGGGACUGAGACACGGCCCAAACUCCUACGGGAGGCAGCAGUAGGGAAUCUUCGGCAAUGGACGAAAGUCUGACCGAGCAACGCCGCGUGAGUGAAGAAGGUUUUCGGAUCGUAAAACUCUGUUGUUAGAGAAGAACAAGGAUGAGAGUAACUGUUCAUCCCUUGACGGUAUCUAACCAGAAAGCCACGGCUAACUACGUGCCAGCAGCCGCGGUAAUACGUAGGUGGCAAGCGUUGUCCGGAUUUAUUGGGCGUAAAGCGAG
Molecule: ribosomal RNA, 530 nt
Filed under: uncultured bacterium
Lineage: Bacteria
Description: bacterial SSU rRNA
Rfam family: Bacterial small subunit ribosomal RNA
Source: RNAcentral